This 195-nucleotide long non-coding RNA is filed under the name Neodiprion pinetum (white pine sawfly). RNAcentral describes it as "uncharacterized LOC124212706". The record is from RNAcentral. Lineage: Eukaryota; Metazoa; Arthropoda; Insecta; Hymenoptera; Diprionidae.
GUAGGUUGAGAAACGUCAAGAUGAAUCGUACAGCACUCGCGAUUUCACAAACGCUGGUCCCUCAGCCUGCCCAGCGAUAAUAGAAUGAUCGAAAUGGGGAGCUCUUCAGGCUAAAAAGAAACCCAGCAAACUUAAGGACGAACACAUCAAUAACAAUUCGUGGAGUGACAUAGGGCCCAACUUCCUAAUUGGGGA